UACGAAGGGGGCUAGCGUUGCUCGGAAUUACUGGGCGUAAAGCGCACGUAGGCGGAUUGUUAAGUCGGGGGUGAAAUCCUGGAGCUCAACUCCAGAACUGCCUUCGAUACUGGCGAUCUCGAGUUCGGGAGAGGUGAGUGGAACUGCGAGUGUAGAGGUGAAAUUCGUAGAUAUUCGCAAGAACACCGGUGGCGUAGGCGGCGACCUGGUCCUUUACUGACGCUGAGGCGCGAAAGCGUGGGGAGCAAACAGG
This 253-nucleotide ribosomal RNA is filed under the name uncultured bacterium. Its description in RNAcentral is "partial 16S ribosomal RNA". It matches the Rfam family "Bacterial small subunit ribosomal RNA", at positions 524 to 776 of the family's 1533-position model. The record is from RNAcentral.